AGAGUUUGAUCCUGGCUCAGGAUGAACGCUAGCUACAGGCUUAACACAUGCAAGUCGAGGGGCAUCAGGAAGAAAGCUUGCUUUCUUUGCUGGCGACCGGCGCACGGGUGAGUAACACGUAUCCAACCUGCCCUUUACUCGGGGAUAGCCUUUCGAAAGAAAGAUUAAUACCCGAUAGCAUAAUGAUUCCGCAUGGUUUCAUUAUUAAAGGAUUCCGGUAAAGGAUGGGGAUGCGUUCCAUUAGGUUGUUGGUGAGGUAACGGCUCACCAAGCCUUCGAUGGAUAGGGGUUCUGAGAGGAAGGUCCCCCACAUUGGAACUGAGACACGGUCCAAACUCCUACGGGAGGCAGCAGUGAGGAAUAUUGGUCAAUGGGCGCUAGCCUGAACCAGCCAAGUAGCGUGAAGGAUGAAGGCUCUAUGGGUCGUAAACUUCUUUUAUAUAAGAAUAAAGUGCAGUAUGUAUACUGUUUUGUAUGUAUUAUAUGAAUAAGGAUCGGCUAACUCCGUGCCAGCAGCCGCGGUAAUACGGAGGAUCCGAGCGUUAUCCGGAUUUAUUGGGUUUAAAGGGAGCGUAGGUGGACUGGUAAGUCAGUUGUGAAAGUUUGCGGCUCAACCGUAAAAUUGCAGUUGAUACUGUCAGUCUUGAGUACAGUAGAGGUGGGCGGAAUUCGUGGUGUAGCGGUGAAAUGCUUAGAUAUCACGAAGAACUCCGAUUGCGAAGGCAGCUCACUGGACUGCAACUGACACUGAUGCUCGAAAGUGUGGGUAUCAAACAGGAUUAGAUACCCUGGUAGUCCACACAGUAAACGAUGAAUACUCGCUGUUUGCGAUAUACAGUAAGCGGCCAAGCGAAAGCAUUAAGUAUUCCACCUGGGGAGUACGCCGGCAACGGUGAAACUCAAAGGAAUUGACGGGGGCCCGCACAAGCGGAGGAACAUGUGGUUUAAUUCGAUGAUACGCGAGGAACCUUACCCGGGCUUAAAUUGCAGUGGAAUGAUGUGGAAACAUGUCAGUGAGCAAUCACCGCUGUGAAGGUGCUGCAUGGUUGUCGUCAGCUCGUGCCGUGAGGUGUCGGCUUAAGUGCCAUAACGAGCGCAACCCUUAUCUUCAGUUACUAACAGGUUAUGCUGAGGACUCUGGAGAGACUGCCGUCGUAAGAUGUGAGGAAGGUGGGGAUGACGUCAAAUCAGCACGGCCCUUACGUCCGGGGCUACACACGUGUUACAAUGGGGGGUACAGAAGGCAGCUAGCGGGUGACCGUAUGCUAAUCCCAAAAGCCUCUCUCAGUUCGGAUCGAAGUCUGCAACCCGACUUCGUGAAGCUGGAUUCGCUAGUAAUCGCGCAUCAGCCACGGCGCGGUGAAUACGUUCCCGGGCCUUGCACACACCGCCCGU
This 1395-nucleotide ribosomal RNA is filed under the name uncultured bacterium. RNAcentral describes it as "bacterial SSU rRNA". It matches the Rfam family "Bacterial small subunit ribosomal RNA". The record is from RNAcentral.